UAUAGCAGAUAGCGAAUAGUAGAAUGACAAGAAAAAGUUGUUUUACUGAUUAAAUUACUUCUACCACGACUAAAAGUUGAAGUUAAAGUUAUUGAGGACAGAGGUUCUGUAUGUUCGUAUAGUAGAGGGCUACGGAGCUACGGAGGACCAGACUUUGGUGUUUUUGAUGAUUAUUCUCAGCUUGGCCGUAUUCUCUGCAGAUGGUAAAUCUUACCCAGUGCAGGUGCUGGUGUAAAGGCCAGGGAUCAACAAAAUAAUCAAGGAUCAUCUUCUUUGGACGCAUUAAAGGGGUGGGAACCUCAGCUGCAUGGGGACACAGCCAGGAAGGAAAAUCACAGACAUUUUAGCCCCUAAAAUGACGGCAGGAUGGAGGAAAAGGGAGGAAAAGAAAUAGGAGUGGACAGAGGGGGGUCCGGAGGAGGCUGAGAGAGAGGAGAUUGACAACGGAGGAAGGAAGGCAAAGUGAUGUUUUUAAGGGGUCACAAAAAAUUACAGAUGUGAAUUGAAGAGCAGAUUAUAGGAGUGAAGUGGAGUAAGAAUAUUUUAUGUUGUCUUUUUCCAGAUUGAAAUAUGUUUUAGUCAAAAUUAGCUGCAUAUUAGAACAGAGCAAUCAUUCUUUUGCAGGUAUUUUCAGGUGUAUCUGUACUAGUGAGGACACGGUGUGACUGUACUGGUCUCGGCUUAUCCGUUAGCCCUCUAGGAAAUAUUAAAAUUGAGUACAUUAACAUAUCAAAGGUCAGACACGGGGGCAGCCAGCCUCCCAGGUGCUGUGACAAUUUACAGCCCCAGUUGAUCUAUGGCCUGACCCAACCUCAAACCAAAUCCCAGCUGCUGAUCUGUUGGCCUCCAGAUCAGAACGCCUGUCAACACGAGAGCCUCAUUUACAUUUAAAGUGCGCUCUCUCCUCCCGUUGUUUAGCCCAUAUUCAUCAAGAGUGACUGCUAGUGACUGCAGCAGCAGAAUACAGGCAUUUAUAAUGUUAUAUACAAAAAAGGCAGUCACCUUUAUACAGCUCAGUAGUCGACAGUGAAUACACAUUUGGUGAUUUAAAAAAACAAAAUAUAUAACUGUUGUUAGGCUCAAUUGUUUAUAAAUUGUCAAUUUGUCUGUGUUAGUGAAAGUUAGGAGUAGGAAAUAUAAAUAAAAUCUUCCAUGAUGGUAUGAGUAAUUUUAUAAUGUGAUAUCUAUAUACAAAUUAUAUGGAGAAACUCUAUGCAAACAUCAUAAAAAUAGAGUUUUCUAAUUAUUUUCCGUACAGCUGCUCUGUUUAUUGAUGCCCAGCAGAUACUGAGGAAAUAGACACCUGCUGGGUCUAAACAUUAUGGGUCAUUGUCUAUCAAAUAUGUAGAGUGCCCUCUGGUGGCGGUUUGAUAUAUUGCAUAUUUAACUGUGCUUGUGUUAUACUGGCAUUGGCAGUUAUUUUACCUCACUUGUAACAAGUGACUUUUAUUUUAAUAUAACUUUACUGUGUUCAUUUUUAUUUUCCAUUUCAGAUAACACAUAUUCACACCCGUACGUAAACUCAAAUAUACCAACAUGCUGGACUUACUCAUGUCCUCAACCGUCUGUGGAGGUGAUUAAAGAGACUGAACUUAAUCUUGAGAUUGUCAGCAUAUACAGAAGGAUUCGGUUGAUUUGUCAUUACUAGGACAACAGUCUUACUUGUUACUGAAAGACUAUGUUAUCACAGUUUCUCUUUGCCAAUGUAGUUCUCACUUGUCUUACUGCAUUUAUCCUCGUAAAUGCAUUGUGUUUUUAAGGGUGGAGGAUUUUGCAGUGUUUGAGUGUUGGACCAGCUGUUCAACCAGUGACUAUCUGGCCCCUUUUUUCAUGUCUAUGUUGUCCAAUUUUGUCUUGAAGACAUAUUUAUAACUUAGACUUUCAACAACUAUCAUUGAAAUCUGUCCAGUUUUAUGAUAUCCAGCUAACUUACAGAGCUAAAAACAUAACAUCUGCAGUGAAAUUAGUGACAUACCAACACUUAAAAAAAUGUUUUGCCCCAAAAUAAUAGACAAGAAGUCAGACCUUCAAUAAUUAGAAGAUAAUUUAGACUAAUUAUGAAUUAGAACAUAAUUAUGUUUUCAAUAAUACUGAAAGAUUUCAUGAGAUUUAUUUCAUCAACCCCCCCGAAAUGCAUCAAUCUGAAUAAUCAAGUUUUUAGUUGUUAGGCUCAUAAGCUUCAAAGUUAUUAAAAUGUAGUUUUCCACAGGUAUUGUAGAUAUUGAUCAUUUGUCCACCUUCUACAUGCAUUAAUAAUAAAAAAACAGUAAAUUA
Scomber scombrus (Atlantic mackerel) is the source of this 2274-nucleotide long non-coding RNA. RefSeq lists it as uncharacterized. The record is from RefSeq and is a predicted model, not a curated record. Lineage: Eukaryota; Metazoa; Chordata; Actinopteri; Scombriformes; Scombridae. The transcript is spliced from 3 exons.